RNAcentral lists this long non-coding RNA (674 nucleotides) under Vulpes vulpes (red fox). Its description in RNAcentral is "lncRNA (ENSVVUG00000019661.1)". Lineage: Eukaryota; Metazoa; Chordata; Mammalia; Carnivora; Canidae. The record is from RNAcentral.
CUUUUAAUGCCUAGAAACACAAUAAAUUUUCUUGAAACGACACUACAAAACCAAGUUAAAAUUUGAACACUAUUUUUUUAAAUUGCCAACAACUGACAAUGUAAUCAAUUGCCUUCCAGAGAUAACUCCAUGUCAAGACCAAAAGCCAAGCAACCACAUCAUCAAGAGACAGACUUUUCUUCUUGUGUACACCUGGCAUCAGUAGUAUCAUUGAAUCAUAAGAGAAUGUCCUCAAAAGAUAAGAAGAUAUCAUUUGGCUGAAAGAAUGAAGAAAAAAAGAGGUGGACUCUAUGGCUUAGAUGACUGCAAAUGGAAUACCUUUCACCUCUAAUUGACUGACUGAAACAGAGGCAGUCUCCAUAGAGACCGAAAUUGCUCCCAGAGAGAUGGCAGUUCCACGAGGAGGCUGCAGAUGGAGGACUGGGUCCCCAUUUCUGAGACAUAGGGAGCAAGACGUGAAGACUGGAUUCAUUGCUUUCCAUCGCUCAUUUUAGAGAACUGCUAUCAGUUCUCCAUAUUUUAAAAUACAGUAUUUCUUCACACAGAUUCCAUUUAAAGAAUGAUAACUUGUUUAUGGAAAUACAUUGAGGCUUGGGGAAGUUUCUGAAUCAACCCAGUUCUUAAACUACUGCUAACCCUAUUAAGGUUCCUCUUCCAGCCAUCAAUACGUAUCG